UGGGGAAUCUUGCACAAUGGGGGAAACCCUGAUGCAGCGACGCCGCGUGAGCGAUGAAGCCCUUCGGGGUGUAAAGCUCUUUCGGCAGGGAAGAUUAUGACGGUACCUGCAGAAGCAGCUGCGGCUAACUACGUGCCAGCAGCCGCGGUAAUACGUAGGCAGCAAGCGUUGUUCGGAGUUACUGGGCGUAAAGGGUGCGUAGGCGGCUCUAUAAGUAUGGUGUGAAAUCUCCCGGCUUAACUGGGAGGGUGCGCUAUAGACUGUGGGGCUAGAGUGUGGGAGAGGAAAGUGGAAUUCCUGGUGUAGCGGUGAAAUGCGUAGAUAUCAGGAGGAACACCGGUGGUGUAAACGGCUUUCUGGACCAUAACUGACGCUGAGGCACGAAAGCGUGGGUAGCAAACA
RNAcentral lists this ribosomal RNA (402 nucleotides) under uncultured Candidatus Solibacter sp. RNAcentral describes it as "bacterial SSU rRNA". It matches the Rfam family "Bacterial small subunit ribosomal RNA", at positions 355 to 774 of the family's 1533-position model. The record is from RNAcentral. Lineage: Bacteria; Pseudomonadati; Acidobacteriota; Terriglobia; Bryobacterales; Solibacteraceae.